UACAGAGGGUGCAAGCGUUAAUCGGAAUUACUGGGCGUAAAGCGUGCGUAGACGGUCAUGUAAGUCGGGUGUGAAAGCCCCGGGCUCAACCUGGGAACUGCAUUGGAAACUAACGGGCUCGAGUGUGGCAGAGGGGGGUGGAAUUCCACGUGUAGCAGUGAAAUGCGUAGAGAUGUGGAGGAACACCGAUGGCGAAGGCAGCCCCCUGGGCUAACACUGACGCUCAGGCACGAAAGCGUGGGGAGCAAACAGG
Molecule: ribosomal RNA, 253 nt
Filed under: uncultured bacterium
Lineage: Bacteria
Description: partial 16S ribosomal RNA
Rfam family: Bacterial small subunit ribosomal RNA
Source: RNAcentral